Pelobates cultripes (western spadefoot toad) is the source of this 259-nucleotide non-coding RNA. NCBI's taxonomy places the organism in Eukaryota, Metazoa, Chordata, Amphibia, Anura, Pelobatidae. The record is from the annotation of a GenBank genome assembly.
CUAUCAAUGAAUAGUUAGCAAUGUUUAAGCGCUCACAAACCCAUUGUUUGGAUAUUUGAGAGCACUUUAGUCAAUAUUGGUCAAUAGGGACCUAUACGUUACACAGUAAAAUGUAAACAUGUCAUUAUCGGUUUGGAACACAGAAAGUUAAUGAUAUGUCACCAUCACCACUGCCAUAUAAAAGGGAUAACAGAGGCAAGUCAGGUUAAUUGUAUUUGUUGUUGACCUAAUGAUCUAAGGGUACUGAUUUCAAAAUCAU